AGUCGAACGGCGGCACGGACUUCGGUCUGGUGGCGAGUGGCGAACGGGUGAGUAAUGUAUCGGAACGUGCCUAGUAGCGGGGAUAACUACGCGAAAGCGUAGCCAUUACCGCAUACGGGCCCUUCGGGGGAAAGCGGGGGACCUUCGGGCCUCGCACUAUUAGAGCGGCCGAUAUCGGAUUAGCUAGUUGGUGGGGUAACGGCUCACCAAGGCGACGAUCCGUG
RNAcentral lists this unclassified non-coding RNA (224 nucleotides) under uncultured Bordetella sp. RNAcentral describes it as "partial 16S-23S ribosomal RNA intergenic spacer". It matches the Rfam family "Bacterial small subunit ribosomal RNA", at positions 60 to 285 of the family's 1533-position model. The record is from RNAcentral. Lineage: Bacteria; Pseudomonadati; Pseudomonadota; Betaproteobacteria; Burkholderiales; Alcaligenaceae.